This is a long non-coding RNA of Macaca mulatta (Rhesus monkey), 313 nucleotides long. RefSeq lists it as uncharacterized. Lineage: Eukaryota; Metazoa; Chordata; Mammalia; Primates; Cercopithecidae. The record is from RefSeq and is a predicted model, not a curated record.
CACAUGUAAUCCCAACACUUUGGGAUGCCAAUGCAGGCGAAUUGCUUGAGCUUAGGAGUUUGAGACCAGCCUGGGCAACAUGGUGAAACCCCGUCUCUACAAAAAAUGCAAAAGUAGCCAUGGUGGCUUGUGCAUGUGGUCGCAGCUACUCGGGAGGCUAAGAAAACACGGAAAACCAUCAUCAAUCUGUGACUGCUUUACUUGUGUCUCCAGUACAUCUGUGCUUUCUCACUUUCAAGCCUUCACUUCUACAGUCACUUUCCUACACGACCCCACCUACAUCCAAAUUGAAUAAAUUAUUCAUGAAAUGAAA